AUUGAACGCUGGCGGCAUGCCUUACACAUGCAAGUCGAACGGUAACGGGCCUUCGGGUGCCGACGAGUGGCGCACGGGUGAGUAAUACAUCGGAACGUGCCCGAUCGUGGGGGAUAACGAGGCGAAAGCUUUGCUAAUACCGCAUACGAUCUACGGAUGACAGCAGGGGACCGCAAGGCCUUGCGCGGACGGAGCGGCCGAUGGCAGAUUAGGUAGUUGGUGGGAUAAAAGCUUACCAAGCCGACGAUCUGUAGCUGGUCUGAGAGGAUGAUCAGCCACACUGGGACUGAGACACGGCCCAGACUCCUACGGGAGGCAGCAGUGGGGAAUUUUGGACAAUGGGCGCAAGCCUGAUCCAGCCAUGCCGCGUGCAGGAUGAAGGCCUUCGGGUUGUAAACUGCUUUUGUACGGAACGAAAAGCCUUCUUUUAAUACAGGAGGGUCAUGACGGUACCGUAAGAAUAAGCACCGACUAACUACGUG
RNAcentral lists this ribosomal RNA (482 nucleotides) under uncultured bacterium. Its description in RNAcentral is "partial 16S ribosomal RNA". It matches the Rfam family "Bacterial small subunit ribosomal RNA", at positions 30 to 507 of the family's 1533-position model. The record is from RNAcentral.